UACGGAGAGUGCAAGCAUUAAUCGGAAUUAUUGGGCGUAAAGGGCGCGUAGGCGGCUUAUCAAGUCAGAUGUGAAAUUCCGAAGCUCAACUUCGGAGCUGCAUUUGAAACUGGUAGACUAGAGGAUUGGCGGAGAAAACGGAAUUCCACGUGUAGCGGUGAAAUGCGUAGAUAUGUGGAAGAACACCUGUGGCGAAAGCGGUUUUCUAGCUAAUACCUGACGCUGAGGCGCGAGAGCAAGGGGAG
RNAcentral lists this ribosomal RNA (245 nucleotides) under uncultured Simkania sp. Its description in RNAcentral is "partial 16S ribosomal RNA". It matches the Rfam family "Bacterial small subunit ribosomal RNA", at positions 524 to 768 of the family's 1533-position model. Lineage: Bacteria; Pseudomonadati; Chlamydiota; Chlamydiia; Parachlamydiales; Simkaniaceae. The record is from RNAcentral.